This 235-nucleotide ribosomal RNA is filed under the name uncultured bacterium. RNAcentral's name for it is "partial 16S ribosomal RNA". It matches the Rfam family "Bacterial small subunit ribosomal RNA", at positions 118 to 351 of the family's 1533-position model. The record is from RNAcentral.
UGAAGAGUUUGUCCAACGGCGGGGGAUAGCCGGCCCAACGGCCGGGUAAUACCGCGUACGACCCUCGGGGGGCAUCCCCUGAAGGUGAAAGCCGCAAGGCGCCGAUGGAGAACUUCGCGGCCUAUCAGCUAGUUGGUGAGGUCAUGGCUCACCAAGGCGACGACGGGUAGCUGGUCCGAGAGGACGACCAGCCACACUGGAACUGAGAUACGGUCCAGACUCCUACGGGAGGCAG